RNAcentral lists this ribosomal RNA (438 nucleotides) under uncultured bacterium. RNAcentral's name for it is "bacterial SSU rRNA". It matches the Rfam family "Bacterial small subunit ribosomal RNA", at positions 954 to 1392 of the family's 1533-position model. The record is from RNAcentral.
GCAUAACGCGAAGAACCUUACCUAGGCUUGACAUGUGACUGCACGACCGGUGAAAGCCGGUCUCCUUCGAGGGUGUCACACAGGUGCUGCAUGGCUGUCGUCAGUUCGUGCCGUGAGGUGUUUGGUUAAGUCCACCAACGAACGCAACCCCUGCGUCCAGUUGCCAUCGGGUCAUGCCGGGAACUCUGGACGGACCGCCCCUUCAAACGGGAGGAAGGUGGGGAUGACGUCAAGUCAGUAUGGCCCUUACGCCUAGGGCUGCACACGUGCUACAAUGGCCGGUACAGAGGGACGCGAGACCGCGAGGUGGAGCAAACCCCCAAAACCGGCCCCAGUUCAGAUUGGAGUCUGCAACCCGACUCCAUGAAGUUGGAUUCGCUAGUAACGGCGCAUCAGCAUUCGGCGCCGUGAAUACGUUCCCGGGUCUUGUACACACCG